AGCCAAAGCCACAUCACCCUGCAGCCCAAGACCGGUUCCUCACUGAAGCUAAGCAGGGCUGAGCCUGGUCAGUAUCUGGAUGGGAGACCACAUGGGGAAAGUAGGUUGCUGUUGCAC
Danio rerio (zebrafish) is the source of this 117-nucleotide ribosomal RNA. Lineage: Eukaryota; Metazoa; Chordata; Actinopteri; Cypriniformes; Danionidae. The record is from Ensembl.